AAGAACAUCUAUCUCCUAAUUGUUCCUAGGAGAAUCUCAAUAUGCAGCAGCUGAAGCGAACGAAAAAGAUAAAGAUUGUGUCGAUGAAUCUGUUCAAGAACCCUUACUUUUUAAUCUUACUUUUUAAUAUUUGUAAAAUUUUUAAUGCUAUCAUGCAGUCAAAGUGUUGAAAGCAGAAUGACAAAGAGACGGGAAGAUUGUGAAGUUUGCAAGGAUGAUAGCACUUCUUCGAGUGACAGAGAGACGGGAAAAUAGGUUGUAUGCAUGGCUGCACAACGGAAGAAGCCGACAAGCUGAAGCAAUUAAGGUGAUUUUGGUAUUAAAGUGAGCCUUAGCCAUCAAUCACCUCAAGUUCUGCAGAUUUAAAUGGAGAUCUACGAGACGAUGGUUCUGCUAUAAAAAGAGCAAGCUAUGGCAAGUGCAAAACUGGUAAGCGGGAAGGAUUCUUACAAUGAGUGCAAAUUAGACAAUCUCAAUUCUCACAAGGUGUCGAAAGCAGAAAAUAUGACAGCAAACUGAAAGUCGGUUGGUUUCUUCACACACCAUUUCCAUCUUCUCAAAUUCACAGGCUGCUGCCGUCUCGAUCAGAGCUGUUACGUGCUGUUCUUGCUGCUGAUGUAGUUGGAUUCCAUACCUAUGACUAUGCAAGGCACUUUGUUAGUGCAUGUGCUAGAAUUCUCGGACUUGAGGGUACACCUGAAGGAGUGGAAGAUCAAGGAAGGCUGACCCGUGUGGUCGUGG
Daucus carota subsp. sativus is the source of this 741-nucleotide long non-coding RNA. RefSeq lists it as uncharacterized. The record is from RefSeq and is a predicted model, not a curated record. The transcript is spliced from 6 exons. Lineage: Eukaryota; Viridiplantae; Streptophyta; Magnoliopsida; Apiales; Apiaceae.